RNAcentral lists this ribosomal RNA (253 nucleotides) under uncultured bacterium. Its description in RNAcentral is "partial 16S ribosomal RNA". It matches the Rfam family "Bacterial small subunit ribosomal RNA", at positions 524 to 776 of the family's 1533-position model. The record is from RNAcentral.
UACGUAGGCAGCAAGCGUUGUUCGGAUUGACUGGGCGUAAAGGGCGUGUAGGCGGUUGGUCAAGUCUGGUGUGAAAGCCCGGGGCUCAGCUCCGGAAGUGCAUCGGAAACUAGCCGACUGGAGCGCGAUAGAGGAGGGUGGAAUUCCUGGUGUAGCGGUGAAAUGCGUAGAUAUCAGGAGGAACACCGGCGGCGAAGGCGGCCCUCUGGAUCGUUGCUGACGCUGAGACGCGAAAGCGUGGGGAGCAAACAGG